GGCUUGAAGAGGUCGGAGAAAAUCCUGGAGCAGAGAAUCCUGCAGGAGAAUCAGCAGAGCUUUGUGGUGGCGCGAACCUGCUCCUUGGCCUCACAGUCCUGCCCAGGUCUUCUGAUGGACUCAAGUCCCGAAUCGGAGUCAGCCAGGAAGAAGCUGUUGCUCUUCUCCCCGGCCCCUGAGGGUGAGUG
Long non-coding RNA from Suncus etruscus (white-toothed pygmy shrew), 188 nucleotides. RefSeq lists it as uncharacterized. The record is from RefSeq and is a predicted model, not a curated record. The transcript has 4 exons. NCBI's taxonomy places the organism in Eukaryota, Metazoa, Chordata, Mammalia, Eulipotyphla, Soricidae.